UAAAUGCAAUAAAAAUCAUGCCACAGUUCAUUUUACACAGUGGAUUUGAUUCAGAGAAGAGAAAGAGGAAAAGAGGAAUUUAACAUAGGUAGACAUGGAACUGUUUUAUUGUCAUAUUAUUGCAGUUUGUACAAUGUGUUUGGUCUUGGUCAUGGAAGUGUCAAUAGUCCACAGUUCAGAGUCUAUGGUGCAAUUGGCAACUGUGGGGAAGUAUAGCUUUCAAUAUUGCCAGAGAGCGAACUUUACAGCGGACACUGCGGAUUGUGGCGGCUUAUUUGCUAAUGAAUCACGAAUCAUGGAGACCUGCCGAAAGGAAAAUUACAGUAACAGUUGUAAUGUUUAUACCAGCCCAGAAGAUGACAGCAUAUUCUUUUGUAUGACAAGUGGAAGAAGUUCACAAUGUAUUAACAUUCGUUGUAAUUCAACAUUUAAACGGGAGACGGAUUUCAAUCCAAUUGAAAUAAUUCACACCGACACAUUAAGUACAUCCUGUGUGUAUAAAUAUUCUACGACGGAACCCAAGGAAUGCGUCACCAACUCCAGUGAUGAGGGUAAUAGUCUCUCUGUCAUCCUGAGCGUGCAAGUUUAUCAUAGCUGUAUAGUAACUCAAAAAUGCCAUGUUAAGUAGAUAUUAACGAAAACAAUAUUUUUUUCCCAGAAAUUAAAUCAUUUAAAUUAUUUAACAAGAUCACGAUUCAAACUAAUAAUAAAAAUGACUUCCGUUGGAAAUCAUAUAUAUUCGAUAUUUUAUAUACUAAACUGCUGUUCGUGUCAAUAUUAUGCUUCAAUAUAUAGAAACGCGUGUAAAUACUGAAAGAAGUCAUAUAAAUUUAAGCGGAAGUGAAUGGCCUAUGUUAUUAGCAGCUUCCCUGACCGGAGUAAUGUUUCCAGCAUUAUUUUCUUUUUGAGAGAUUGGAUUCGCAAACGCUGGUAAUUUUUUUUAAAUGAAUAUUGUAAAAGGUGUGCUCUGCUUUUAGAAAUUAGAAAUAUUCUUUCAGAUAAGGUUCACGAAAACAGAAAACUAAUGUGAUUAUACUCCACAUAAGCAAACUAGAAAGAUCAAAUUGACUGCAAUUUUACAAAACCGAAUGGGAUUCAAGAUACCUGCAACGAACAGAGUGGUUAUUUCAAUUGUUAAAUAAGACGAAGAUUAUUCUGUUCAAGAGGGCAACCUCCUGAUGACGUUGCUGUCGAAUAAAAUUUACGAUAUUUAUUCGUAAUGACGUCCAUUGAGUUGCAUUUCGUUGGCUAGGAACACUGCCUCUUAUUAAUCAAGAUUAUUUGAAUUUAUAUCAAAUAGUCAACUAUUAAUUUAGUACAAGUUUCUACCCGGGCUGCCGCCCUGGGCGCUCUUAACAAUUAUACAAUUAUAAAAUUUAGAAAUUAAUUUCAAAAUUAAGGAGGAUAUCUCCCUCAUGCAUAGCUCUGAUCCUUGGACGAAUUUGGCUCCAGUUUUUUUUGGCACUCUAGUUUUCCUGUUAGCUUUUACAAGUUGUUUGUCAUUUCGAAUUUCCAAAAUUCCGGCUUCAGCACCACUGAAGAGACAUUAUUUGUCGAAAUGUACAUCUGGUGGAUCAAAAUUGGUACCGUAUAACUUUAACACUACAAUGGUUACCUUACGACUACGUUAGGGUACGACUAUGCUACGGCACGAGCUAAUUAACAACAAACAGUCCCCGGAUGUCGCUCUCUUUUUCAAAAUCCACCGAACAAGAAAGAUAUUUUUUCCCCAACCCACCACCCAUUAUAUUAUUAGGGCGUAAUUCUACCAUUUGCUUUGCUGCUUUCUUUUUUUUUUUUACAUUGCAGAAUACCACGUGACAUGUCCAUCCUAGCCGAGAAGAAUGGAACGCAAGCCAUAUCAUGCAAACACGAUCGCCAGCCACUCUAUAACUUUUAUACCUGUGCUGACUGAUGACUCCCACGUUACCGAUAAGGGAUAUAUAAAUGCGGUUUGUACGGACAUUUCGAAUUUACAAGAGGAAGAGGGUGAAAGGUGAAGAUAACGAACAGUGAUCAAUCUCAUAACUCCUACAAUACAAAAUAGAUAGUUGGGCAAACACGAACCCCUGGACACACCAGAGAUGGGAUCAGGUGCCUUGGAGGAGUAAGCAUCCCCUGUUGACCGGUCACACCCGCCGUGAGCCCUAUAUCCUGAUCAGCCCAGCAAUCUUGAUACCUCAACCAAUUCAAACACUCCCGACCCAGGGGUGUAUUCUGGUAUCGAUACGAUUAUACCCGAUGUAUACAAUUAUUCAAAGCCCGAAGAGGAACAGCAAAGUGAUACUUAUAGCUUUUUGAAAGGAUCGGAAGGGAGGAUGCUGAGGAUGGGGAGAGCAGAAAAUCUACAAAAUGAAAAGACCUUAAACGAUACGUUAUUGACAUCGGGUGAACAGUCACCCCUUACAGAACACCAAAGAGAAGACAUGUAACAAUUAUACUUUUGUUUGGAGACUAGAAUUGCCUUAAAAGGAAUUUGAAUGCUUGAAACAAUGUUUACCUUAUUCUGAUGACAUGUAGAUAUUUCUGUUUCUUUAUUUAUUUGCUAACGUCUAUUGAAUAUUUUAUUUACUCAUAAGACAUCAACAGCUACAGGUGUAGUACCACAGAUUUAGACUUGCGCAGAAUUACUAGGAUGGUAACAAUGGGGAUUUGGUAUAUUAUCAAUGCUACAUAGAACCUUACUUUUGAUGUAUGGUCCGAAAGACCCGCUACUGGAGCUCUUUCUUCUAAAUGCCGAGUGUUUGGCAUAGAGGCAGUUACUGCCAAAAACUUCCUGGUCACAAAGCAAACUCAUUAACCAUUUACUCAUCUUUUAAACAUGCAAUGAAAUACCUUGACAAUCCUGAUUUAUAAAACAUGUGAAUUCUGAUUAAAAAAUGCAGCGACAUCAGUAUUUUAAUUUAUUUAACCCCUUCUCUACCGUACCGUGAAGAAUUGGUAUGAAACAUGUCAGAAAGCUUUUGACCAAAUCAAAGUGUUUGCAAAUUAUAUCGUUCUAACAAACACAAUAAUGUCUAAAUUUGCACCUGAUCCCACAACUGGUAUGUCCAGGGGUCCGUUUUUAGGAUUACGUGCAUUUAUGAUAUUGAAGAUGUGUCAAUGCUGCAUUGAGAUUAUUACUGAGAAUCUAAGAAAAUCACCACCUUGCUAUUUAGGAUAUAUUUUACGGAUCUCAUUAUACUAAAAGAUGUUUUCUCGAUAAACAUGAAAUAAGACAUGCGUAUCAAGCGGUAUCCAAUCCCAUUGCCCUUCAAGCUUGAUAGAGAUGAAUUUGUCAUUUUUUAUGCAUUUCCAGUUUUGAAAAAACGAGGCGUUAGUCCUUGAUAUAGUUUGGACCCUUAUAAAAUAAUGCAUAUGGUGAACCCAUUUCCCUUGGAUUUUGUUAAACCUGUGCAUUUAUCUGAUGCUAGGCUUUCCCUAUCGAUAUAAUUCAUACCCGUUUAAAAUAAUGUAUACAUGGUUAUACGAAAAUGUCUUUCAAACUUGUGAGACUCUCUAUUGGUUCAGACUUUAAGAAGGGGCUGUGAUAGGUAUACAGAAAAAUGCAUUAAAUCACACUCGACUUUUUAGUCUGUAUAUUGCAUGCACCCUUUUAGGGGGUCAUAGUCAAACUAGGCUUGAUAUAAAUGUUUGUUCUUUUGUAUCUGUUAGUUGGUGUUUAUAUAGCUAAAGCGAUGUUCGCUUUGUCUCAUUUUUUAAAAGAGAGCUACAAAGGACUCUGUAAACAUUGGAUGAUAUUAGCUUACUCAACAUGUCUAAAAACAUCAAUGAAAAUAUUAAUUCCUGUUUGCCUUUUACCAGAAUGCUAUGAAAAUUAAAUUAUUAUGUAUUUGA
This is an RNA transcript of Ostrea edulis (European flat oyster), 3837 nucleotides long. RefSeq lists it as uncharacterized. NCBI's taxonomy places the organism in Eukaryota, Metazoa, Mollusca, Bivalvia, Ostreida, Ostreidae. The transcript has 7 exons. The record is from RefSeq and is a predicted model, not a curated record.